Molecule: unclassified non-coding RNA, 22 nt
Filed under: Mus musculus (house mouse)
Lineage: Eukaryota; Metazoa; Chordata; Mammalia; Rodentia; Muridae
Description: oocyte_clustered_small_RNA7407
Source: RNAcentral
UCUAAUGAGGUGCAGCAAUGGG